Molecule: long non-coding RNA, 10538 nt
Filed under: Triticum aestivum (bread wheat)
Lineage: Eukaryota; Viridiplantae; Streptophyta; Magnoliopsida; Poales; Poaceae
Description: long non-coding RNA (TAES_LNC026235)
Source: RNAcentral
CUUCUUCAAGUUCAAUGUUUCUGGAGGCGGAAAGAAGUGAUGAAUUCAUCACAGGGUCGUGUAUUUUAGCAUUUUUGGGUUCACUUGCAAGUAGCCAGGUACUAUCAGUACUGAUUGCAGACUGUGCGGGGAGGCUAUAAGCACCAACUGGAAGGGAUGAAAAAUAUAAUUUUUCAUUCGUGAGCUAGAACUGCUCAGCUCUAUCGGAAAACUGGAAGUUGUAACGUGUGACUGGACAACUUUGUCGUAAUUAGGAUGCAAAGUUAUUUGUUAUGCAAUUCUACCGUUGUUGCAUGUGUAGCUCCAUAAUUCUUACUAAUAUUUUACAUAGAAAAUUACUUUGAUUACUUUUUUGGAUAUAUUGCCUCUUAAAUUGAUUGAGUACCUCUCCGUCCAUGAGAGAAAAAAAAGAGACAAAAUCACAUGCCUGCACUGAUUAAAUGUGGCGCUCAAGUGAAACUUAUCUUAGGGUUCAUAAUAUCUUAGUAUUGAGCUCUAAAUUUUAGUUGGUGCAUAUUGUUUUUUAUAGCAAAUCUUCAUGAAUGUUCAUCAAGUUUAUUAAAAGAAGUAAACAUGUCUGCAAUAUCAAAAACUACCUUCGAUCCAAAUAAUUGAAGUUUUGGGUUUGUCUCAAGUCAAACUUGUUUUAGUUUGACCAAGUCUAUCGAAACAUAGAUUAACCUGUACAACACAAGUUAGUCUCAUGGAAUCAUAUUUCAAUAUUAUCAGUAUUUGGUGUUGUAAAUCUUAGCAUAUUUUUCUAUAGAGUUGGUCAAACUAGAGCAAGUUGGACUUAUGACAAAUCUAUGACUUCGAUUGUUUUGGAAUGGAGAGACCAUAUGAAAAUAUAAUGUUGAAUCUUAUGGUAUUGAUCAGGUAUCCGAGAUGUUGAUAACUUUUUCUAUGAACUUGCUCAAACUUUGCAAGUUUUGGCAUUGAAAAAAACACUAUUUUGGGACAGAGAGUCUUGCCAGAAAAAAAUCCCAACAAUGACUUUUGAAAUGUAAGAAAACAGCUAACCAUCUUUCCUUGCAAUCCCCACCUCCUCCCCUCAUCCCUAUCGAAGGAGGCCUUCGGGUUAAGUCCGGUUGGCAGCUGCGACAACUUUGUCGACGACCUCCAUGGCUCCGCCCCGACUACUCUUUCCCUGCGAGAUGGGGUGGGGGUGGCACCCCUUUUUCCCUCUCUCUAGAGGUCAUUCCCGCGUAGGUCGUCCGCGUGGUUGCAGAUGCGGUGCAACAACGGUGGGACGCUAGAUCUGGUCUGUCUCGUGCAAAUCCGGUUUGCUGGAGUCUGCUGGGUCGGUUUUUGGCUGGCGAUGAGGUUUGUGGUGGCUCUUGUAUGGUCAUGACGCGAGUGUGUGGGCUAGUGGAGGUGUGAUGCAUGGGUAUCUCGUGUUAGGCGGUGCUCCUGGUGAACUUGCCAAGCUCUUGUCGACCGGCGACGUCGAUGUCCUUGGGCGUCAUUUCACCUCCUUGGAGGCGCCGAUGUGGAGUUCAUCUCCGGCAGGGGCGAACCCAGGAUUGGGCUAAGCCCCGGACCCUAGGCCAGCUACAAUGCAUCUACAGUGACGCUACAGUGCCAUUCAUGCUAUAUUGAAGGAAGUGUGCAUUCCUCACGCCCAGGGCCCAGGCCCCCCGGCCUGGGUCCUAGAUCCGCCACUGAUCUCUGGCACACCCUCAGAUUCAGUUCUUCGGGUAAAAUCCUAAGGCUCAGUUGGGUCGGGUCGCUUCCCUUUCCGGAGCAUCGUCUUGAAGAGACCUCUCGAUUCCCUUCACGCCCUUCAUGUGCUAGACGCUCACGACAAUGCGGUCGGUAGGUGUUCCUCCGACAAUGUGGCUGGUUGUGCGCGGCUUUCGCGUGGCAACAAUGGUGACUUCGGGUGAGUUGUGAUUGAGUUUUGGUAGUCGGUUUUAUUCGGCGUGUUUAAGGGGUCACCGUGCCUCACUCGUUCUUUCUAAAGUCGGAUCUGCUGAGGCGGGCCUUCGUGGUGAUGAUGACACGAGAUGGGUAGUCCCUUCCGACGCUUGUUCGGCACAGGCCCGACUCUUUCUUGCUCGUUGACAAAGUAGAAGCUGCUUGGGCAUCGAUGUGUGUUGCUGACUGGUUGUCAUAGGCGGGUUCCUCCCCAGCACACCCCCUCGCCGCAGCGGAGCCUCGCCCGAUGCCGCCCAAGGCGUCGAAGAAGGACGACGAGCCGACGGAGCGCCCCAUCCUCGGCCGCUUCUCCUGCCACCUCAAGAUCAGAAUCGUACGCUCCCCUCUUCCCCCUCCCGCAGAUUCCCCACGUUCUCCCGCGAUUCUAGCGAGUGCUCGCAAGGGUUUCAUGGUUGCUUACUUGGUGGGUGCGGUGGCAGUGGCGGUUGAUCAGAUCGACAGGAGAGCAUGUGAUGUCCCUGUUGCGGUCGUCUUAGUGUAAUAGGGCUUUGCAGUUCUCUUGGUCCGCGCUGGCAAAGUUCGGAAUCGUUGGUGGCUUGCUCGUGGCAUCUGAAAGUGGUUUUGUCCGACUUUGUGAUCUCCAUCCCAGAGUCCAUACUAUCGGUUUCGCAUGUCUAUACCCAUGAAUUGUGAAACAUAGUCAUCGACCGAAUCGUAUACACUAGUUGAACGGUAUGUGUCCGCAUAACCUUAUCAACUAGGGAUCAUUAGAACAUCCGUCAUACAAUACAUAGUUUCACAAACAAGUCACAUACUUAUUGAUACAUAUCAUUGAUGAUGUUCAAGGAUAUUCCAAAUAACUAAUAAAUACAUACGGAAAUAUUAUCAUCACAUGAUUGCCUCUAAGACAUAUCUCCAACAACAUAAUCAUACUCUUAAAAAUUACAGUUUAAUCGAUACUAAUUGUAAUUUUCUCACCACACCGUGUUAUCUUUUAUUGAAGAGAUGCCGCUUGUGAAAUUAUGGAUCCCAGUUUAUCCACCCCUAUUGCUUUCAAGUUUAACCAGACUUUUUUUUUACAAUUCCUUGAUUUUAUUUCUCUUACUUUAAUCACUUCUUUCGAACACGAGUUGCUUUAAUCCUGAUAACGGCAUGGAUAGUAAGACUAACAAUUUUACUAGUUUCGUUGGGUGCCGAGACAAGUUCUGUAAUUGUGGGAGCUUCUACCGGUUUAUCAAACCUUAAGGCCAUCCACUUAGGAAAAUUGNNNNNNNNNNNNNNNNNNNNNNNNNNNNNNNNNNNNNNNNNNNNNNNNNNNNNNNNNNNNNNNNNNNNNNNNNNNNNNNNNNNNNNNNNNNNNNNNNNNNNNNNNNNNNNNNNNNNNNNNNNNNNNNNNNNNNNNNNNNNNNNNNNNNNNNNNNNNNNNNNNNNNNNNNNNNNNNNNNNNNNNNNNNNNNNNNCGCUUCCUAGAUUAGAGGAGGCAAGUUUUUUCUGGCGUUGUUGUGAGGGAGUCUUUGAUUAUUACCAUAUGUCCUACACUCCUUUACUUUACUUUCUUGUUAUAUAUCUUGCUUAGUUACUUUAUGUUAGUAGUUUUUUUUUGUUUUUUCACUUUCGAAAAAAUUCAAAAAACACACAAAAAUAUUUAAAUUCUAGCAAGAAGUUAGUUUGUUUUAGGCUUGAAAUCAUGUCUACUUCUGCUCAAAACACCAAACUUUGUGGAUUUACGAGUAGUAAGAAUGGUGAUUUCAUUAACAAACGUAUUGGUCCACUAGCUACUAGUGCUGAGUCUUACAAAAUUAAGACUGCUUUGUUGAACUUGGUAACGACUAAUGAAAGAACAAUUAUAUGGUUCUUAUAAUGAAGACGUUGCUUCUCACUUAAACAAUUAUGUUGAGCUCCAUGAUAUAAAAAAAAUAUAAAGAAGUAAAAUCCAAUAUUGUCAAGUUAAAACUUUUUUCAGCCAAAAAUGGAUGUUAAGUGGAGAUGGGGAAACUUCUGCACGACAAUUGGCUUUGGCACGAGUACAUUUUGAUUAUGCGGCAGCAGGUAUAACACUCCAAAUAUGUAGCGGUUGGGGGCAAAAAUUGAGGCUACCCAAAAGAAUUUUGUAUCACGUGGAGCCCUGUUUUUGACCCAAAGUGUCCUAAAACGAUGGUUUUUACAUCACAGAGAUGCUUCUUUUUAUCAUUGUUGGAUGACCCUCCUGUCUUCCCGCAUCCCCCAUCGUGCCGCCGCGUGCCGGGUGAGGACCUUGUCUUGCCAGCCCUAAAAGGGUAGUAUCGUGCCCGACCUUAAUGCUCGGCUUUUGGGCUCGACCUUGUUCCAUAGCGGGCCAAAGACCAGCCCGACCCUUUUAAUCGUGUGCCGUGCUGGGCACAUGUCGGGCUGAAAUUCCGAGUCCAUGGGCCGGCCCGCGAGGCACAACCCAUAUGGCCAGGUUUGAGCCCAUCCCCAGACUCCUCUCAGCUCGCCGCAACUACCACUUCCCACCAAAAACCCUAGCCGGCCAGCCCACAUCUCUCUCUCUAUCUCCCACACACGCUAGCCCAUCCCCAGACUCCUCUCCAGACCCCAGCACACCACCUCGCCGCAGCGGAGCCGAGCUCGAUGCCGCCCAAGGCGUCGAAGAAGGACGGCGAGCCGGCGGAGCGCCCCAUCCUCGGCCGCUUCUCCUCCCACCUCAAGAUCGGAAUCGUACGCUCCCCUCUUCUCCCCCCUCCCGCGGAUUCCCCACGUUCUCCCGCGUUCUAGCGAGUGCUCGCAGGGGUUUCAUCGUUGCUUACUUGGUGGGUGCGGUGGCGGUGGCGGUGGCGGUUGAUCUCUUUGCUGUCUCUGUGGAAUAGUAACAUAUGAAAUGUUAUCCCUGCUUAAAUCUUAGUCGCUACAUGCUAGUAGGAGUAGGACGUGUUAUAGUUUUAUGUAUGUAACUCGGUUUGCUUGGACACAAUUAUCAUGUUACUAUGGACUGCUGUUCAACAAGUUUCAUGAGUUGCCACUACCGCACUUCUCUAGUUGCAUUGAUGGUGUUUAACAGUACUUGCCCUUGUAUCCUUUAUUCGAUCUCAGAUUUCAUCAUAAAUCAUAAUGGACUACUCUUCUGUUGAAUGUUGAUUGGCGCACUACUUGUUCUGCUGUAGCCAUUUAGAGGAAUAAGAGGAGAUAUGAAUUUUACCAUUGAUGUUUCAUGCAGGUUGGGUUACCCAAUGUUGGCAAAUCAACUUUCUUCAACAUAGUAACAAAGUUGUCCAUCCCGGCUGAGAACUUCCCAUUCUGUACCAUUGAACCAAAUGAGGCACGGGUACAUGUUCCGGAUGAGCGAUUUGACUAUCUUUGCCAACUUUUCAAGCCAAAGAGUGAGGUUUGUUUCUUUUCUCUGCUUUACACUUCUACAGUAAUCUGCAGCUUCUUGGCUUAUGUUUCAGAUGUAUAGUGACUCUUGUUAUUCUCUGCAGGUGGCUGCAUAUCUGGAAAUCAACGACAUAGCCGGGCUUGUUAGAGGAGCAAGUGCAGGGGAGGGUCUGGGCAAUGCCUUCUUAUCCCAUAUACGUGCUGUUGAUGGAAUCUUUCAUGUCUUGAGUAUGUCUCUAUUGUAAAAUGUUUAUAAUUCAACUAUUGUAUUAUGUUUCUUAAUAAAGUUCCCUUGGUUAUGUUUUGACUAUAUGUUAAAAGUGAUAAAUUUUGGAUGUCUUGGUGGAGACCUAAAUGAGAAGACUAGCCAAAUGUUGGCAUUGCCAAACAUUGGCAAUACCAAGACUUGCCAAAUAUUGGCAACUUUAUGUUUCAUAGACAAGAAAACUUGGUAACCCACCAAUUAGUGGCCAAUAUGCCAAUUUUUGGCACCAAACCAAUUACGCGCUAGGUGUUCAUGUAAUAGAAUCUUUUGCUGUAUCUGUAACUGAUAGUAUGGUAUGAUUUUUAGGAGCAUUUGAAGACACGGAAAUCACCCAUAUUGAUGAUACAGUUGAUCCUGUUCGUGAUUUGGAAACUAUUACUCAAGAACUGAGGCUCAAGGUUUCGUUUGAGUUCUGCUUGAUUUGUUUGUCAACUUAACCAGUUGUUAACCUAGUUGUAACAAGGUUCUGUUGCAUUUCUGUAGGAUAUAGAGUUUGUGCAGGCUAAAAUUGAUGACCUUGAGAAGGCAAUGAAGAGGAGCAAUGACAAGCAACUUAAGAUAGACCAUGAAUUAUGUCAGAGGGUAGGGCAUGUUUCACAGCUCUGCAGUUUUGCAGUUUUGCUUCAUUUCUAUCAAUCAGUUAGAUCUCAUGAACUAUUGAAAUUUAGUUUCAACUUUUGUUGGUAGAUUAAAUGAUCAAUCGGUAAUUUAGUUUCAACUUUCCCUUAUAACAGAUCAUGACACAUCUUCAAGACGGGAAAGACCUACGUUUAGGAGAAUGGAAAGCUGCUGAAAUUGAGAUCUUGAAUACCUUUCAGCUGCUUACUGCUAAGCCAGUUGUUUAUUUGGUAAUUUUUACUUAUUUGGAUUGGAAGAAUGGUCUCAUUUGAUUAAUAUGUACAGGCUUGUUGUUUGAACUUUAUAUUAGCACAAUGACAUCAUUUGAUUAAUUAUAGUUACAUGCUUGUUGCUUGAACUUCUUUACCAGCAUUUCCAUCUAUAAUUUAGUGGCAUCCCAUAUUUAGUCCGGAAUUUCAAUCAAUGUUACAUUAACCCAGCUUUGUUUUCCCCUCUGUUUUGUUGUUGCUGUCUGUCUACUUCUGCUUUCCAACAUUUAUUUUGAGCCAUUACAGAACUGACGGGCGACUGGUAAUCGAUACGCCAUACUCUCGGCAUUUGUAUGAUUAGCAAUAAGUGCAUGCUCUGUAGACAAUUAACUGAGUUUUAUCUGAUCACAGGAAACAUAACUAGAAAAAACUAUUGCAUGCUUCUUGCUAUAGCAGUAGAAUAGGGGAACCUUUUUAGUUCCAUAUGCCAGUUUUAUUCCACUCCACUGUAAGGCACUGCAAGUCUGUAAUAGUUGAAGCAAUUGUUAAAGUUGCACUUCCAUGCGUGAGCAAGAACCAAAGCAAAGUAUGCAAGAAGUGUCAUUAGAGUUUAAGUGAACUAGUGAAGUAAGGAAAUCCCAAGAUAUAUGAUGUUUCCAUAUGGAUUCUUACUUUUUUUUGGACCCAAAAGGCACAUCAGGGUCCCUAAUAGGAAUAUAGGGAUGGUGUGCUGUAGAAGGGUUUAUGAAGAUUAGAUAUUACUUUUCACUUUCAUAUGAUUAUUGCUCACCUGUUGGAGAGGGAAAUGAAAUGGGAAGCAUAAAUUCUCUACUUGAAAAACCUACUGAUGUACUCGUUAUAUGAUGGUACAUAUAACUAAUAGCUGCUGCGCAUACAUCAGUUGAAAUUAUAUUUAUAUUAGCAGCAAGAGAAAAUAUCUCUUUGAUAUCUGGAAUUAUCCCACGUUCAGCUUGAGUAAUCAUGCCAAAUGGACAUUAAUCGCUCUGCUAUAACUGUAGCUCAUUUACUGGGUUAAUCCUUAGAUUUGACCUUACUUUUAUCAGUAGUUGAAACAGAAAAGCACCUUCUCUUUUAUAUGGCUUCUAAAAGGCCUAACCAUCCUUUUUGAAAGUAAAAUGUAGCUGUAUUGAUUAGUCUAGUAUGUUACUUUGUGCAGGUGAACAUGAGUGAAAAGGAUUACCUGAGAAAAAAGAACAAGUUUCUACCAAAGAUACAUGCUUGGUACGUACUAUUUCUACCCCAAGUCUAAUGGCUAUUGCAGAAUUACAGAUAAACUCAUGCUAUACGACAUGCAUUUCAAACUGCGAAUGCUAAUUUUCUGUGGAACUUCUGUUCAUGUACAGCCUAAUUGCUGUAGCAGGAUAGAUCAUUUUGAAGCUAAAUCAUUUCAAGUUUCCAUCAUUAUAUCUGGUUGUAUAUGAUAUUUGUUCCAACUUGCUUGUUGAGUAGAGCAGCUGUCUGGUUUAAAACACAUUGGGUUUAUUAUUGGAAAAAUGUUAUCACAGAGAGAACCAGUGUUUAUGCUUGGACUUGUUGAUUACUGUAUUUGAGGGUAGAAUCUCACAAAAUUUAUGGAUCUCUUACAUAUGAAUACCAGCAAUUGUCAUAGGCAGUGGGCCAGGUCCCAGUGGUAUGUGUCCGCACUCAGCACUAAGGAGCACUAUUCAUGUGGACAGUACCCACAUGGUAUCUGUCAGCACUAAGCAGGAAUUACUAUUCACGUGAACUGUACCCACUUGAACAAGAUAAGUGCAGUAGGUCUAGUUACAAAGUAGUAUAUCUGUUCAGUUAGGAAAAGAGAUCAGUUUAGUUAGGAAGGUAAACAUAUUUGAUCUUUACCGAACUUCUUUUAGUUAGGUAGGUAUAUAUAUCUGCUAUAUAUAUUAGACAUGGUAUCUGCCAGCACUAUUCAUGUGAGUUAUCAAUUAAGCAUUGAACGAGAAGUUCAGUAAAGAUCUAAUCACCAUCCUCAACCUUCUCACUCUCACCCCUGGUAGUCACCGUCUCAGUCCUAGAACCGACCCACCAUGAUGAUACUGAGAAAAACCCAUGAGACAAAAGAAGGCCUGAUGGUUGUAGGCUCUUGUCCACAGUAAGAAAUUGAUUAUAUGAAGUUCAUGUGGUUGUGAUUUUGAUUAAAUCUGAUUAUGUUGUGUUUGAUUAAAUGAUUAGCAUAAACCUAAUAUGCAUAAUUUCCUAUGAGAAGGGGCUAUUGCCUAUUGGAAUAUUAGCUAAUAUCUAACUAUUUCUUAUUCAGGGUGAAAGAGCAUGGUGGUGAAACUAUUAUUCCUUUCAGCUGUGCCUUCGAACAGAAACUAGUGGAUAUGCCAGAAGAUGAAGCUGCUAAAUAUUGCACCGAAAACCAAACGACAAGGCAAGCCAUAACAUAAUUAUGUCCGAGUUGAUUACCACAAUUAAGAUAGCAAUCAAGUUUAUUUAUUUGUAACAUGCAUUACAAUUUCUCUCUGCAUCUUGCUCAACCUUUUCUAUUUAAUUUAUUUAUACUAAAUCUUUCACCACUGUGAACAGUUUGAUCCCCAAAAUCAUCAAGACUGGUUUUGCAGCAAUUCAUCUCAUAUACUUCUUCACUGCUGGUCACGGCGAGGUACAUUUCAUAUGUUUACAUUGUGCUAGUACUAUGUGUGUUGUGUAAGCCAUGUUUUACUUUAUUUUGCUAAAAUGGUGGUCCAACAGCACUCUGUUACAGUUUUGGUGUGCAAAAUUCAUGUGCUUGUUCUUUGUAUAUCAGUAUUUAUUGGUUAUUGCCUCUGCUCCAAAAUAAGGGGUGCAAUCAAGUUUAUAUAACAUUCAUAAUCAGUAUGUAAAGAAUUUAAUGAGAUUUGACAAAUGAAAAUAACAUCCUUUUUUUUCUAAAUAAUUCUUUUUUUUACUAACAUAUCAACAAUAAUGGUCAAAGUUGCAUCUUGUUGGCUGUUCAUGUUCUAAACGUGGAGGAAUAUAUUAGAGUGUUUAGAUGUCUAUUCAUGUUUUAAGUUUCAAAUAGGAGUUUCUGAAUACAUUUGACAGUUUUCUGCUGGCUUACAAGCUUGAAUUCUCUUUUCAGGUGAAGUGCUGGCAGAUCAGACGUCAAAGUAAAGCUCCGCAAGCUGCUGGUGCAAUUCACACUGAUUUUGAAAGAGGCUUCAUAUGUGCUGAGGUAGAGUCCUUUCUGAAAUAGCUAGACACAAUUCCUUUAUUUGGAAUAAUUGAACUGUGGCAUUCUUAGUUGACAGUGUAGUUUAACUGUUGCUAUUCUUACUAUUUGCACUUCAUCAUGCCAAAGUGUUGUCCCCAAGGUACAUGAUGCUUAGGCAUGUUUUUUUUCUUUCAAAUCUCGAUGUUUACUGAAGCUCCUUUCAUUAUGUUAACUUGAUGUAUUUCUGUUUGCGGUGUUCAAAAUGAUACACGACAUUCCUUUUUUCUCUUUCAUAAUAUUUUGGUACUUUUGCUUUGAAAUUGGAAAUGCACGCUGUUAUGGCCGGUACUAUGGCAUUGUUUACUUGACUGUAUGCACAUUUGGAACCUUGAUAAUUCAUAUAUAUAAAUCUACUUUUUUUGAUCAGGUAAUGAAGUUUGAAGAUCUAAAAGAGCUGGGCAGUGAAUCUGCUGUGAAGGUGUGCACACACUCGUCUAUGUUAGAUCUGUAUCAGUUGCCUUACUUUUGAUCUUUAAACUCAACGUUGCCAUGGAUUGCAGGCUGCUGGGAAGUACAGGCAGGAAGGGAAGACGUAUGUGGUGCAGGAUGGAGACAUCAUCUUCUUCAAGUUCAAUGUUUCUGGAGGCGGAAAGAAGUGAUAAAUUCAUCACAGGGUCGUGUAUUUUUGCAUUUUUGAGUUCACUUGCAAGUAGCCAGGUACUAUCAGUACGGGUUGCAGACUGCGGGGAGGCUAUAUAUAAAUUUCCAUUCGCUCUGCUUUUGAAAGUACUCCUCGAUGUUAUGAAGUCAUGUGUGCCAACUGCCAACUGUACACCUGAACGAUGUUUGAGGCCUCUAUUAGAAAACUGGAAGUUGUAACUUUGUGACUGGACAAGUUUGUCGUAAUUAGGAUGCAAAGUUCUUUGUUAUGCAAUUCUACCGUUUGUUGUUGCAUGUGUAGUUCCAUAAUUUUUACGAAGAAAUUACUUUGAUUACUUUUUGGAUAUAUUGUCUCUUAAAUUGAUUGAGUACCUCUCCGUCCAUGAGAGGAAAAAGAGAC